AACGCACGAGACCUGCGGACCUGCGGAGGGAUCAUUAUUGAAUUCUUUCAAAGAAGGGACUUUUCUCUUAGGAGAGGGUUCUUUCUGAACAAACAAACAAACAUAUACAUGACUAGGAAAUAGAGAAAGAGAGAGAAGAAUUGUUGUGUGAUGAUAGAGAGAGAAGGGCUGUGUGUUUCAUCAAAUGAGAUAUUGGCCUCUCUCUCUCUCUCUCUAGCACAGAGGAAAAGUUCUUGGCUG
RNAcentral lists this unclassified non-coding RNA (240 nucleotides) under soil metagenome. RNAcentral's name for it is "partial contains 5.8S ribosomal RNA, internal transcribed spacer 2, and large subunit ribosomal RNA". The record is from RNAcentral.